This 258-nucleotide ribosomal RNA is filed under the name Triticum aestivum (bread wheat). RNAcentral describes it as "partial small subunit ribosomal RNA". The record is from RNAcentral. Lineage: Eukaryota; Viridiplantae; Streptophyta; Magnoliopsida; Poales; Poaceae.
AUGGUUUCGUGGAGCGACGCCAGCGAGGAAUCGGGCUACGAGUACUCUUCAGGCGGCUCCCCUAUCAAGAUCCCGGCUACAAUCGAGGACCCGAACUACUCUGGUGUUGACGAUGAGGUGAUGGUGAUGUGUGAGCAUGGCCAGCCGGCGAAGAGGCAUGUUUGCUUCGAAGGGAUUAGCACUGGGAGGAGGUUCAUUGCCUGUGGACUUGAUGAAGCAAGCAGUUGUGGUGUUGUUCGGUGGGUAGAUGAGGAGUAG